RNAcentral lists this ribosomal RNA (451 nucleotides) under uncultured bacterium. RNAcentral describes it as "partial 16S ribosomal RNA". It matches the Rfam family "Bacterial small subunit ribosomal RNA", at positions 354 to 796 of the family's 1533-position model. The record is from RNAcentral.
GUAGGGAAUAUUGGACAAUGGGGGGAACCCUGAUCCAGCCAUGCUGCGUGUGUGAAGAAGGCCUUUUGGUUGUAAAGCACUUUAAGCGAGGAGGAGGCUACCGAGAUUAAUACUCUUGGAUAGUGGACGUUACUCGCAGAAUAAGCACCGGCUAACUCUGUGCCAGCAGCCGCGGUAAUACAGAGGGUGCAAGCGUUAAUCGGAUUUACUGGGCGUAAAGCGCGCGUAGGUGGCCAAUUAAGUCAAAUGUUAAAUCCCCGAGCUUAACUUGGGAAUUGCAUUCGCAACUGGUUGGCUAGAGUAUGGGAGAGGAUGGUAGAAUUCCAGGUGUAGCGGUGAAAUGCGUAGAGAUCUGGAGGAAUACCGAUGGCGAAGGCAGCCAUCUGGCCUAAUACUGACACUGAGGUGCGAAAGCAUGGGGAGCAAACAGGAUUAGAAACCCUGGUAGUCC